Molecule: ribosomal RNA, 253 nt
Filed under: uncultured Christensenellaceae bacterium
Lineage: Bacteria; Bacillati; Bacillota; Clostridia; Christensenellales; Christensenellaceae
Description: partial 16S ribosomal RNA
Rfam family: Bacterial small subunit ribosomal RNA
Source: RNAcentral
UACGUAGGGAGCGAGCGUUGUCCGGAAUUACUGGGCGUAAAGGGUGCGUAGGCGGCUUGGCAAGUCAGAUGUGAAAUCCCCGGGCUUAACUCGGGGGGUGCAUUUGAAACUGCUGAGCUUGAGUGCAGGAGAGGAAAGCGGAAUUCCUAGUGUAGCGGUGAAAUGCGUAGAUAUUAGGAGGAACACCAGUGGCGAAGGCGGCUUUCUGGACUGUAACUGACGCUGAGGCACGAAAGCGUGGGGAGCAAACAGG